GUUAUCGUUUAUUUGAUAGUACCUUACUACUUGGAUAACCGUGGUAAUUCUAGAGCUAAUACAUGCUGAAAACCCCAACUUCGGGAGGGGUGUAUUUAUUAGAUAAAAAACCAACGCCCUUCGGGGCUUCUUGGUGAUUCAUGAUAUCUUAACGGAUCGCAUGGCCUUGCGCCGGCGACGGUUCAUUCAAAUUUCUGCCCUAUCAACUUUCGAUGGUAAGGUAUUGGCUUACCAUGGUUUCAACGGGUAACGGGGAAUUAGGGUUCGAUUCCGGAGAGGGAGCCUGAGAAACGGCUACCACAUCCAAGGAAGGCAGCAGGCGCGCAAAUUAUCCAAUCCCGACACGGGGAGAUAGUGACAAUAAAUACUGAUACAGGGCUCUUUUGGGUCUUGUAAUUGGAAUGAGUACAAUUUAAACCUCUUAACGAGGAACAAUUGGAGGGCAAGUCUGGUGCCAGCAGCCGCGGUAAUUCCAGCUCCAAUAGCGUAUAUUAAAGUUGUUGCAGUUAAAAAGCUCGUAGUUGAACCUUGG
Molecule: ribosomal RNA, 532 nt
Filed under: uncultured fungus
Lineage: Eukaryota; Fungi
Description: SSU rRNA
Rfam family: Eukaryotic small subunit ribosomal RNA
Source: RNAcentral